Molecule: ribosomal RNA, 680 nt
Filed under: Circinella muscae
Lineage: Eukaryota; Fungi; Mucoromycota; Mucoromycetes; Mucorales; Lichtheimiaceae
Description: eukaryotic LSU rRNA
Rfam family: 5.8S ribosomal RNA (bases 269-423)
Source: RNAcentral
CCUUAGUGGGGACAUGACGGAAGACAUCACUAAUUGGAAGUUGGUCUCUUUUCGAACCUCCUUCUUUAUGAUCUGUGCAAUGUAGACCAACUGGUCGUGGUCUUUGACUUGCGGUUAUAAAUACCCUUUGAACCUAGGUUUGAAGGUAACCGCAAAGGUUCUUCUGAACCAACUUUAUGUUUAUUAAACUCUGAACUUAUAACAAAGGGGUUUUGGUCUUAAUUGACCUGCCUUUUUAUUUAAUGUGGUCUUGAUUGACUACUAAAACAACUUUUAGCAAUGGAUCUCUUGGUUCUCGCAUCGAUGAAGAGCGUAGCAAAUUGCGAUAAUUAGUGCGAAUUGCAGACUUUGUGAAUCAUCGAGUUCUUGAACGCACCUUGCACCUAGUGGUUUAUUCUACUAGGUACGGUUGUUUCAGUAUCACAAAACUCAACAACCUAUUCAUUUGUUUGAAUACGUGUUGGAGAUGAGUCUUUUGGUCUUCUCGUUAAGACUAAAUGACUUGAAAUCUAUUUACCAAAAAUCUUGGAUUUGCCAAGAGACUGGAUCGUAAUUGGUUUUAAAUCUGGUCUUGAUAAUUCGAACUUUUGGUAUAAAACAAUCCAAACCAAAACCGUGAUCUGAAAUCAACUGAGACUACCCGCUGAACUUAAGCAUACUAAAGGGGGGGGAGAAAGAAA